This is a long non-coding RNA of Oncorhynchus tshawytscha (Chinook salmon), 2478 nucleotides long. Lineage: Eukaryota; Metazoa; Chordata; Actinopteri; Salmoniformes; Salmonidae. The record is from Ensembl.
CCCCCUCUCUCUCUCACCCUAGCCUCCCCCCCUCUCUCUCUCACCCUAGCCUCCCCUCUCCCUCUCUCUCUCUCUCUCACACCCUUAGCCUCCUCUCUCCCUCACCCUAGCCUCCUCUCUCUCACACCCUUAGCCUCCUCAGCGUGUUUGACCAUGAAUCUUGUUCUAGAGGCAGCUCUGUAGAGUGGUCACCAGCUGGCACAGCCACCAAGUCAUAAAGUCUGAUUUUACUCCUAACCUUAAAUUAAAGCCAAAAAGCAAAUUUGUUUUCAUGAAUUUUUACAAUCUAGAUCAUUUUGACUUUGCAGCUGGCCCAUCUAGCAGAAAUCUUUCAGUUAUGCCUCAAAGGCAAGUUUCAUGACAGUAAACGUCAACAUGCAUCCUGUUCUGACAGUGUAGCCAUGGGGUUUACCAGCCAGACUAUUGAGGGUGUUUGGUCCUCCCAACGCCCUGGAGACUGAAGUACUUACUGGGUUUUAUCAGUACGAUUAUCUGUUACGUCUCCUCAAUACAACUAUGUCCCUAUUGUUUCUUCUUGCCAUUGUGACAUGAUAGUUCAAUGUUUUCAUUUGUCUCAAAGGUGAUUGAGUUCAUAGUUAUCUAAAGUUCUCUGUUCAUAUUAUUCAGCGGUCAUGUUUCUUCUAAUGGCUAUUUUUAACAUGUCAAGGAAACGUUUUAUUAAAUGGUAUAUGUUAUUUUGUCUGGUGUGUGUACUCUCCUUUUCUGUCUGUCUAUAUGGAGAAACAAAUUGUGUUCCCAGACAACUGCACCGCUGGAUUCAGAAAUCAUAGGCCCUGGGGCUUUUGAUUUUCCUAUUGGUUCUACAAGCAUAUUAGUCUUUUUCAGCAGUAGGCAUUUGCUUUCCAAACUGCCUUUUUCCUGGCCACAAUGCAACAAGCUGUAGGCUAUAUUUGGCAGGCAUACUGCCCAAACGGCGGCCUUCCUGACUAGGCAUACCGGUUACUGGCAAAUUAAAGGAAACAAGGGAUACAAAGUAUACAGUUUAUUCGGAAGGUAUUCAGACCCCUAGACUUUUUCCACAUUGUUACGUUACAGCCUUGUUCUAAAUAUGGAUUUUUUAAAUUCCCCUGAUCAAACUACACACUACCCCAUAAUAACACUUAUACAAACAUUUCUAAAAUCCUGUUUUUUAUGUAAAAAAAAAAAAAAAGUUAUUUCACAUUUAUAUAACUAUUCAGACCCUUUACGCAGUACUUUGAAGGACCUUUGGCGGCAAUUACAGCCUCAAGGUUUUUUUUGGUAUGAUGCUACAAGCUUGGCAAACCUGUAUUUGGGGAGUUUCUCCAAUCAUUCUCUGCAGAUCCUCUCAAGCUCUGUCAGGUUGGAUGGGGAGCGUUGCUGCACAGCUAUCCUGAGCGCACUGGAGUAGGUUUUCAUGAAGGAUCUCUGUACUUUGCUCUGUUCAUCUUUCCCUUGAUCCUGACUAGUCCCUGCUGCUGAAAAUCAUCCCCACAGCAUGAUGCUACCACCACCAUGCUUCACUGUGCAAAGUUUCCUCCAGACUGAAGGUUGGCAUUCAGGCCAACGUGUUCAAUCUUGGUUUCAUCAGACCAGAGUCCUUUAGGUGCCGUAUGGCAAUUCCAAGCGGCCUGUUAUGUGCCUUUUACUGAGAAGUAGCUUCCAUCUAGACUCUACCAUAAAGAUCUGAUUGGUGGAGUGUUCCAGAGAUGGUUGUCCCUCUGGAAGGUUAUCCCAUCUCCACAGAGGAGCUCUGUCAGAGUGACUAUCGGGUUCUUUGUCACCUCCCUGACCAAGGCCCUUCUCCCCCGAUUGCUCAGUUUGGCCAGAUGGCCAGCUCCAGGAUGAGUCUUGGUGGUUACACACUUCUUCCAUUUAAGAAUGAUGGAGGCCACUGUGUUCUUGGGGACCUUCAAUGCAACAAAAAAAAAGUGGUUCCCUUACACUGAUCUGUGCCUCGUCACAAUCCUGUUUCGGGGCUCUACAGACAAUUCCUUCGACUUCAUGGCUUGGUUUAUGCUCUGACAUGCACUGUCAGCUGUGGGAACUUUAUAUGAUGUACACAGGUGUGUGCAUUUCCAAAUCAUGUCCUUUCAAUUGAAUUUACCACAGGUGGAAUCCAAUCAAGUUGUAGAAACAUCUCAAGGAUGAUGAAUGGAAACAAGAUGCACCUGAGCUCAAUUUUGAAUCUCAUAGCAAAGGGUCUGAAUUUAUUUAAAAAUAAAAAUGGUCAUUAUAGGAUAUUGUGUGUAGAUUGAUACUUUUUUGAUAAUCCAUUUUAGAAUAAGGCUGUAACGUAACAAAAUGUGUGGAAAGUCAAGGGGUCUGAAUACUUUCCGAAUGCACUGUAUGUUAUGGUGUGGGGUGCAUUUUCCUGGCAUGUUUAGGUAUACUUGUAAAAUAUAUAUAAUACAAGGUGCAUUGAUGCUGUGCUUGCAACUCGUAGUGGCGCAACACCCUUUUAAGACAGUUUGUUGGUGUUGAUUUAAUUUUGGCAGA